GUUCCUAUGGUGUAGUGGUAAGCACACCUGCUUUACACGCAGGGGACCGAGGUUCAAUUCCUCGUGGGAAUA
Molecule: transfer RNA, 72 nt
Filed under: Rhodospirillaceae bacterium
Lineage: Bacteria; Pseudomonadati; Pseudomonadota; Alphaproteobacteria; Rhodospirillales; Rhodospirillaceae
Description: tRNA-Val
Rfam family: tRNA
About the family: Transfer RNA (tRNA) molecules are approximately 80 nucleotides in length.
Source: RNAcentral